GGUCUUCGAUGUGUUCGUGACGGUGCCGUUGCCGGUUGUGGAGACGAUUCAGAUCUAUUGGGGAAGCGCGCCUUUUGCGACUCACUCGUUUUCUCAGGGUCAACGGCUCGUGAUGUUGACCGUUGGGCCAUCAAUACCUGACGGAGAAGGACGUUAUAGGAUUCAGUGCACGGCUCCACUCAACGGCGCCGUCUCUCCGCCAGGUUAUUACAUGGCCUUCGCCGUUAACCAAGGCGUUCCUAGCGUCGCUCGGUGGAUGCGUAUAGUUCUUUGAUUAAAAACGAGGAAAUAUUUCGAUUUUUAAUCAUGAAUAAUUUGUUAAAUAUGUUAAUAAAAAAACACAUGGCUUAAUAUGAAUAUUUUUAAUGAAACCCUUACUUGGCCAAUUCUAACCAUACAAUGUUUAUUUGGUCUGGUGAUUUAGAUGUUUUGGUUUUAUAAAUUUACUAGUUGUAUCCCGGUACACGCCGGGUUUAUAUGUUUUGUUUUCUGAUGACUUAAUAAUUGAUUUUUUGAUCCAUUUGAUAGUGGUGGAUGAUAUUAGUGUAUUACUUUUUUUGUAGUUGGUUAGGUCAAAGAAAAAUAGCAUAAGUGAGUUUUAUAGAUUAAUGAAACAACAACCAUAAAUAGCUGAUAGUUUCACCAAAUUAAAUAUAAAUUAACUAAAAACAUAAAAUAAAAUUGAUGUUCCAAAAUAAAGCACCUAAAUGCAUGUGUUUGUUUGUGAUCAUCCUCUUACAGCACCAAAUUAGGGGUUCCACUAUGGAUGUAUAUAUUCGUUAAAUACUUUGUCCCGGACUCUAUUUUGAAUCCAUUAAGUGAAUUUUUAAUCAUGGUCCAUCAUUGCUAAGAUCUAAAUUGAUAACUUAUCCAGAUAUUCUUUUCCUUUUUGAAAUAAAGAAUAAAGAUGUUAGCAAAGCAACUCGUGUAUUUGUGGUAGGUGAUCUACAUUCUUCUUCGCGAAGAAGUUGGUGAAGCUGCGUGAGAAAAACUUCACAAUUAAAUACACGAUUAGGUGCGAUAAAUCCUUGCAUAACAAAAGGCAUGUGGAUGUUUUAAUUAAUAAUAAUUUACAUUUAUAAUAUAAUGUACAAAAUGAUGAAUAUUACUUACUUUCUACAAAUUGUUUUCAAAUUCAACUCAGCAGUACAAAAAUUAUGAUAUUUAUUUGACAUAUUUUACUCAGAGUGUUUUCUUACUGAAUGUUAUUAUUGAUAGUGCUAAAUCUUUAUUAAUAUGGCUUAAGAAACUUUCCAAUGAAACCUUUUUAUAUAUGAGAGAUUACUUCAUAUUAAUGUUUUUUUUUACAUUUAUGAUUUAGAACUUUCAUUGUUUUAAGAUAUUUUUUAUUAGUUAAACUUUCUCUUUUAAGAGAAUUUACUUUUUAUUCUAAAAACUCUCUUUUUGAAAAAUAUAGAGAAAACUAAAUAAAUGAGACCCUUUUAUAUGUUUUUAACACCUUUUAACAAUUUUGAACUCAUUUAUGAUAUUUAUUUGACAUAUUUUAUUGAGAGUGUUUUCUUACUGAAUGUUAUUAUUGGUAGUGCUAAAUCUUUAUUAAUAUGGCUUAAGAAACUUUCCAAUGAAACCUUUUUAUAUAUGAGAGAUUAUUUCAUAUUAAUGUUUUUUUUUACAUUUAUGAUUUAGAACUUUCAUUGUUUUAAGAUAUUUUUAUUAGUUAAACUUUCUCUUUUAAGAGAAUUUACUUUUUAUUCUAAAAACUCUCUUUUUGAAAAAUACAGAGAAAACUAAAUAAAUGAGACCCUUUUAUAUGUUUUUAACACCUUUUAACAAUUUUGAACUCAUUUAUGAUAUUUAUUUGACAUAUUUUAUUGAGAGUGUUUUCUUACUGAAUGUUAUUAUUGGUAGUGCUAAAUCUUUAUUAAUAUGGCUUACUCAAAUCAAAACCUUAUGCUACUCACUGAAAAUAGGACAAGGAGUUUGGUCGUUUCUCAGGACAGAGAUCCAGUGUUUGAUCAAAGGAUGAGGUGGCACGAACACCUGAAAUUAAAAAGAAAAAAAAAACAAAACUAAGAAUCAAUUCACUAUUGAUUAGUUCCGAUCUCAAAAUUUACCAGCAUCCUAUUGCUUCCGUUAAUGGAGCCUUCGGACGCCGCCAUUUUAGCUCUAACCGGAAUAUUCCGCCGUGAAAGAGAAGCACCCAAAGUCUGUAUGUAUGAAGAAUUCGAGAUGAGGAUCCAACUCGAGGAGGGAGUGAGGUUAUAUUAAAUAGUGGUGGGUUACCUGACCGAGGAAGGGGGAGGAAUUAAAGGAGAGGAGAGAGGAAGGGGUAGGGGUAGGGUUUACGCGGCCGCAUUGAUCUUGUCGGGGACCUAAACGCAGCGUUUCCGAGUAACAUCGGAAAGCGUUACUAAUUGAGUACGCCAUUUCCCGACGAUAUCCGAACUCUGGUCUAACUGAGAACGACGAUCCAGCGAUUCAAAUACAUAAUAAACCGGCCCUCACUAAACUGUACCGGAUUAUUUUGGGGACUUCAACUUACGAUUGGGCUACAUUUUUCGUUUUUUGGACAAUCCCAUUGGGCUUUGUUUAUUACACGCUUUAUACUAUGCGGAGGAUAUGGGACUAUGGAGCGGAGCUUAAGCAAGUGCUCAAUAUAUCAGCUUACUGUAAAAAAAAAAAAAAGACUACUACCAAAGAUUUAUCUGUUUCUUCUUCUCCAAAUCCUACAAAGCAGCUUACAUUAAAGCAUUUACGACUCUAUUAGUCUUACUGGGUAUCAUGGAUAAUAGCCUCAACAUACAACUGUAUUGAUAGAGAAAGAGAUUAACAAUCGCUGGUUUAGCACAUUUUGAUAUAUUUUAAGAGGAAAAACAAUUUAGAAAUGGGUGAUACUUUUUGAAACCACUAGCUGCAGACAGCACAACCCAAAAGCUUAUCAACUUAACGAAUUAAUUAAUUAGUUUAUAAACUAAUCAUGUAUAAGAAGUAUCAUUUCUAAUUCUUGCCCAUGUCCAAGAAGCAUCAAGAUGACGAAAGAUAGGAUCAUAUGAUCAUUAGAAAGGACAAGCAUGGAGAAAAAGAUGAGAAAAAGAGCACGUUAACCAAUAGGACUAAAUCAUUUUAUGAAGUGGCUGUGAAUUGGUAUUGGCUUGUAAAGGACAACGUCAUAAGUUAUACAAAUUAUAAAUUUCUACCAAAAAAAUGUUGAUAAUUUAUCUACCAAAAAGGUAGAAAAUAGAAUAUUUAGUUGAUUGUUUUUUUAAUCAUGAUGAUGCCUUUUGAGCAGUAAAGGAGAAGCUUGCUAGUUAAUCACUUGAUAUGUACGUUUACUAUAUUACAAAUUGUAAUCAUACACUCGUUUGAUCCUAUUUGAAAUGUUAUUUCGAUCGUCCAAAAAACUAAAAAACGUUAGUUUAUAUUGAUUAAUUGCUAUAUAAACUUGGUUUUUGAAGUUAAUCAAUUGUAUUCUACUAUUCUGAACGUAAAACGAAUUUCAACGAUAUAAACUUUAGGGAAAAAAAAAACAAGAUUCUAUUAUCUUUAGCUAUAUAGAAUGUGUCAAUGCCCCCACACAGUUUUUAGUUAUCGGAUCGUAGAAUCAUAAAUCAUCACUCAAUAUCAACGGCUGUGAUCAAUUACAACGUACAGCUUUUCCCCACUCAAUCUUCUUUAAGACAUGUCAGUGAAGCAAAACACUUCCAAGCUUAGCCGACAAAAAUGGCAGAACUAGUUCGUUAUUACACUCCAGGGAUCGUAGUUAUACUUAUUCUAUCAGUUCUUCUCUUCUCGAUCACACGUGCUGAUUUACCAGGCACGUGGGAGCUCAUCGUACAAGACGCCGGUAUAGCCUCUAUGCACACGGCGGUUACCCGGUUCAACACGGUGGUUCUUCUCGAUCGGACAAAUAUUGGUCCAUCCAAAAAAGCUCUUGGUCGGCACCGGUGCCGGAAAGACCCAAACGACGUCGUUCUGAAACGUGAUUGCUACGCUCAUUCGGUUCUAUUUGACCUUGGUACAAACCAGAUCCGACCACUGAUGAUCCAAACCGACACGUGGUGCUCUUCGGGUCAGUUUUUAUCUGACGGUUCUUUGCUUCAAACGGGUGGGGAUAGAGACGGGUUUAAAAAGAUCAGGAGAUUCGAACCGUGUGACCCAAACGAGACCUGCGAUUGGGUGGAGCUCCAAGACACCGAGUUAACAACCGGACGCUGGUACGCUAGUGACCAGAUAUUACCGGAUGGUUCGGUUAUCAUCGUCGGUGGGAGAGGAACCAAUACGGUUGAGUAUUACCCUCCUCGCGAGAACGGCGCCGUUCCGUUUCAGUUUCUUGCUGACGUGGAGGAUAAACAGAUGGAUAAUCUCUACCCUUACGUUCAUCUCCUCCCCGACGACGGCGGAAACCUCUUCAUCUUCGCCAACAGCCGCGCCGUCAAAUACGAUCACCGCCUAAACACCGUGGUGAAAGAGUAUCCGCCUCUAGACGGCGGCCCGAGGAAUUAUCCGUCGGGUGGAUCAUCAGCGAUGCUAGCGAUCCAAGGAGAUUUCGCCACGGCGGAGAUCCUAAUAUGCGGCGGAGCUCAAUCCGGCGCUUUCACAGCGCGUGCCGUUGACGCACCGGCGCACGGAACCUGCGGUCGAAUCGUCGCUACCGCGCCGGAUCCGGCUUGGGUGACGGAGGAGAUGCCGUUCGGGAGGAUCAUGGGAGAUAUGGUGAAUCUUCCGACGGGAGAGAUUCUGAUCAUAAACGGAGCUCAAGCCGGAAGCCAAGGAUUCGAAAUGGGAUCGGAUCCGUGUCUUUACCCGCUUCUAUACCGACCCGAUCAACCAAUCGGUUUACGAUUCAUGACAUUGAAUCCAGGAACCGUACCGAGAAUGUACCAUUCGACGGCGAAUCUGUUACCGGACGGUCGAAUCCUCCUCGCCGGAAGUAACCCUCACUACUUUUACAAAUUUAACGCCGAGUUUCCCACCGAGUUACGUAUCGAAGCGUUUUCUCCGGAGUAUCUUUCACCGGAUCGAGCCAAUCUCCGACCCGAGAUCCGAGAAAUUCCGCAGAUCGUGCGAUACGGUGAGGUCUUCGAUGUGUUCGUGACGGUGCCGUUGCCGGUUGUGGAGACGAUUCAGAUCAAUUGGGGAAGCGCGCCUUUCGCGACUCACUCGUUUUCUCAGGGUCAACGGCUCGUGAAGUUGACCGUUGGGCCAUCAAUACCUGACGGAGAAGGACGUUACAGGAUUCAGUGCACGGCUCCACUUAACGGCGCCGUCUCUCCGCCAGGUUAUUACAUGGCCUUCGCCGUUAACCAAGGCGUUCCUAGCGUCGCUCGGUGGAUACGUAUAGUUCUUUGAUUAAAAACG
Molecule: long non-coding RNA, 5319 nt
Filed under: Brassica napus (rape)
Lineage: Eukaryota; Viridiplantae; Streptophyta; Magnoliopsida; Brassicales; Brassicaceae
Description: long non-coding RNA (BNAP_LNC006086)
Source: RNAcentral